CCUCGAUCCCGUAAAAAAAUUAAUUAACAACUAACCGCCUCAGCCAGCGGGCAUUAGCCUAGCUUCUCCCGUUUUACGUAGGACGGGAGAAGC
RNAcentral lists this transfer RNA (93 nucleotides) under Cyrtodactylus cavernicolus. Its description in RNAcentral is "tRNA-Cys". Lineage: Eukaryota; Metazoa; Chordata; Lepidosauria; Squamata; Gekkonidae. The record is from RNAcentral.